CUGCCAAGGGCAUUGCUGGGUAGCUAUGUAGGGAAGGGAUAAACGCUGAAAGCAUCUAAGUGUGAAGCCCACCUCAAGAUGAGAUUUCCCAUUUCUUUAAGAAAGUAAGACCCCUGAGAGAUGAUCAGGUAGAUAGGUUGGAAGUGGAAGGCUAGUGAUAGUUGGAGCGGACCAAUACUAAUCGGUCGAGGACUUAACCAAA
This 202-nucleotide ribosomal RNA is filed under the name Listeria monocytogenes. RNAcentral's name for it is "partial 23S ribosomal RNA". It matches the Rfam family "Bacterial large subunit ribosomal RNA", at positions 2726 to 2925 of the family's 2925-position model. Lineage: Bacteria; Bacillati; Bacillota; Bacilli; Caryophanales; Listeriaceae. The record is from RNAcentral.